Molecule: ribosomal RNA, 425 nt
Filed under: uncultured bacterium
Lineage: Bacteria
Description: bacterial SSU rRNA
Rfam family: Bacterial small subunit ribosomal RNA
Source: RNAcentral
GGGGAAUUUUGGACAAUGGGCGCAAGCCUGAUCCAGCAAUGCCGCGUGCAGGAUGAAGGCCUUCGGGUUGUAAACUGCUUUUGUACGGAGCGAAAAGGCUCUCUCUAAUACAGGGGGCUCAUGACGGUACCGUAAGAAUAAGCACCGGCUAACUACGUGCCAGCAGCCGCGGUAAUACGUAGGGUGCGAGCGUUAAUCGGAAUUACUGGGCGUAAAGCGUGCGCAGGCGGUCUUGUAAGACAGAUGUGAAAUCCCCGGGCUCAACCUGGGACCUGCAUUUGUGACUGCAAGGCUGGAGUACGGCAGAGGGGGAUGGAAUUCCGCGUGUAGCAGUGAAAUGCGUAGAUAUGCGGAGGAACACCGAUGGCGAAGGCAAUCCCCUGGGCCUGUACUGACGCUCAUGCACGAAAGCGUGGGGAGCAAAC